AUUGAACGCUGGCGGCAGGCCUAACACAUGCAAGUCGAGCGGAUGAAGGGAGCUUGCUCCUGGAUUCAGCGGCGGACGGGUGAGUAAUGCCUAGGAAUCUGCCUGGUAGUGGGGGAUAACGUCCGGAAACGGGCGCUAAUACCGCAUACGUCCUGAGGGAGAAAGUGGGGGAUCUUCGGACCUCACGCUAUCAGAUGAGCCUAGGUCGGAUUAGAUAGUUGGUGGGGUAAAGGCCUACCAAGGCGACGAUCCGUAACUGGUCUGAGAGGAUGAUCAGUCACACUGGAACUGAGACACGGUCCAGGCUCCUGCGGGAGGCAGCAGUGGGGAAUAUUGGACAGUGGGCGAAAGCCUGAUCCAGCCAUGCCGCGUGUGUGAAGAAGGUCUUCGGAUUGUAAAGCACUUUAAGUUGGUAGAAAGGGCAGUAAGUUAAUACCUUGCUGUUUUGACGUUACCAACAGAAUAAGCACCGGCUAACUUCGUG
Molecule: ribosomal RNA, 484 nt
Filed under: uncultured bacterium
Lineage: Bacteria
Description: partial 16S ribosomal RNA
Rfam family: Bacterial small subunit ribosomal RNA
Source: RNAcentral